Molecule: ribosomal RNA, 327 nt
Filed under: Triticum aestivum (bread wheat)
Lineage: Eukaryota; Viridiplantae; Streptophyta; Magnoliopsida; Poales; Poaceae
Description: partial small subunit ribosomal RNA
Source: RNAcentral
AUGGUGUCUCCGAACACAGUUAUUUCUGGGCUCCUUAACUCAAUUGAGGCCCUCAAUGGGACUAACUUUCCUACAUGGAAGGAGCAGAUUUCCAUUAACCUUGGGGUCAUGGAUCUUGACUACGCACUUAGGGAGAAGGCUCCAGUUCCCUUGUCCUCUAAUGAUGAAAACCUUGCUGAGAAAACUAAGGUUUAUGAGGCUAACAAGGAGAAGUGGGAGCGCUCCAAUCGAUUGUCGCUGAUGAUCAUGAAAAGCUCAAUUACUCUUGGGAUUAGGGGAGCGAUCCCCGAUUCCGAAUGUUCUAAGACUUAUCUGGCAUCGGUGUAG